This 497-nucleotide ribosomal RNA is filed under the name uncultured bacterium. RNAcentral's name for it is "partial 16S ribosomal RNA". It matches the Rfam family "Bacterial small subunit ribosomal RNA", at positions 28 to 507 of the family's 1533-position model. The record is from RNAcentral.
GAUGAACGCUGGCGGCGUGCCUAAUACAUGCAAGUCGAGCGAACGGACGAGAAGUUUGCUUCUCUGAUGUUAGCGGCGGACGGGUGAGUAAAACGUGGAUAACCUACCUAUAAGACUGGGAUAACUUCGGGAAACCGUAGCUAAUACCGGAUAAUAUUUUAAACCGCAUGGUUCAAAAGUGAAAGACGGUCUUGCUGUCACUUAUAGAUGGAUCCGCGCUGCAUUAGCUAGUUGGUAAGGUAACGGCUUACCAAGGCAACGAUGCAUAGCCGACCUGAGAGGGUGAUCGGCCACACUGGAACUGAGACACGGUCCAGACUCCUACGGGAGGCAGCAGUAGGGAAUCUUCCGCAAUGGGCGAAAGCCUGACGGAGCAACGCCGCGUGAGUGAUGAAGGUCUUCGGAUCGUAAAACUCUGUUAUUAGGGAAGAACAUAUGUGUAAGUAACUGUGCACAUCUUGACGGUACCUAAUCAGAAAGCCACGGCUAACUACGUG